AACCGUGUUUCACGAAUUCGUUUAUAUUUCCAAAUCAAGAUGACCUAACGAAAUGGGUUUACUCGAAUACUAAAAAGCCAUCCCAUACUCGAUAUGGAAGACUAAUUUCUUUGAAUUUCAUCGUUUUUUUUUUCUUUCUUUUUUUUGGUCUUUGAAACCGUCAUACUAUUAAGCUAUCGGGAAGAUAUUCGCUUAUAGGAAAAGCAAAUCGAGACCGAUGUGCCUUUGGAUUUCAUCUAAAUGCCAGCUUUGGGGAUUAUAACCACAGUCCACAGCCAAAAUAAACAUUUCGAGAGGACAAUAUUAUCCUAGUUCUGUAUUGGACGUUUUAUGCAAAUAAACCAUUCAAAUCGUCAAUUUUUGUAACUCUACCCUGCAUAUCCAAAUAU
This 389-nucleotide long non-coding RNA is filed under the name Capsella rubella. RNAcentral's name for it is "long non-coding RNA (CRUB_LNC002273)". Lineage: Eukaryota; Viridiplantae; Streptophyta; Magnoliopsida; Brassicales; Brassicaceae. The record is from RNAcentral.